Molecule: non-coding RNA, 873 nt
Organism: Arachis ipaensis
Lineage: Eukaryota; Viridiplantae; Streptophyta; Magnoliopsida; Fabales; Fabaceae
Source: RefSeq, a predicted model, not a curated record
UCAAAAAAUAUGGCCCAAUACCAAAAUGUGGCCCAAAACAAAAAAUAUCUAGGCUGUUAUCGAGAACCUUCUUUCCGUUUUAGACCGGAAUUCCUUAACUAGUACGAACACAUGGCACACCGACUCGGCGUUUGAUUCGGGAACUACCUCAUCCAAUCUCCACCGUUCCAUCUAUUUAUAACUAACCCAUCGCAGCCGUUGAUUCACUCAGAUUCCACUAUAUAAAACGACCUUAACCUUUUCUCCCUCCACAAUCGUCAGAGACGCGCGCGUAAAUCCCAAUCGACGCCAUAACAACCCUUCUCUCCCUCUCUGCGAUGCGGUCAAAGCCAUGUUUCCGUAUCUGUUAUCACGGAUCAAACCUCGAUCUGGCUAUUAGGCAUGGAUCAUUGAAGGAUCUCUCCAUGGAUCGGUUUCGAUCGCGUUGAAUGGUUCUGGUUCGAGGCAUCUUGGAUCUGUUUUGGAUUUUCGACGAUUUGAAGAAUCUGAUCGUGUUUUCUUAGCAAGGGUUUUGGUUGCGCGGAGCUGAUGAUCGUUGAUUUUUCUUGUGGAUUGUGGCGGUGAAGGAUCUCAUCCGGUGGUUCUUGGAGGCAGAGGGUUUUCCGCGGCGGAAUUUGGCGGUAGAGGAUCUGGAUCUUUCUGGAAAUUAACAGUUUUAACACAUGGAUGCGCGAUCUUUGUUGUAUCAAUCAAUAAAAAGGUGUUAUAUGGAAUGUUAUGUGGAACUGAAUGGAGGUUAGGGUUUUGGGAGAAAGAUAUGUCUUAGGCGUAUUGAUGCAGCCUUAAAGGUAUAUGAUCUUGUUAGUUUUUUAUUUUUUCAUUCUUUUGUUACCAUCAGGCCUUUGCCAUGUCAGGUGCGCUUGCAUGGCAGGU